RNAcentral lists this ribosomal RNA (893 nucleotides) under uncultured archaeon. Its description in RNAcentral is "bacterial SSU rRNA". It matches the Rfam family "Archaeal small subunit ribosomal RNA", at positions 23 to 903 of the family's 1478-position model. The record is from RNAcentral.
GCUACUGCCAUCAGAGUUCGAUUAAGCCAUGUUAGUCGAGGGUACCUCUUCUUCUUCGGAGGAUGAGGUAACCCGGCGGACGGCUCAGUAACACGUGGAUAACUUGCCCUUGGGUCUGGGAUAACCCCUGGGAAACUGGGGCUAAUACCGGAUAGAGCAUCGAUCGCUGGAAUGCAUGAUGCUCGAAAACUACGGUGCCCAAGGAUAGGUCUGCGGCUGAUUAGGUUGUUGUUGAUGUAAUGGACCAACAAGCCUACGAUCGGUACGGGUUGUGAGAGCAAUAGCCCGGAGAUGGGUUCUGAGAAAAGAACCCAGGUCCUACGGGACGCAUCAGGCGCGAAAACUUUACAAUGUGCGAAAGCACGAUAAGGGAACUCUGAGUGCCCCCUAAGGGGGCUGUUCUAGUGUCUAAAAAGCAAUAGAAGUAAGGGCUGGGCAAGACCGGUGCCAGCCGCCGCGGUAACACCGGCAGCCCAAGUGGUAGCCACGUUUAUUGGGUCUAAAGCGUUCGUAGCCGGCUUGGUAAGUUCCUUGGUAAAUUUAGCCGCUUAACGGUUAAGCUUUCAGGGAAUACUGCUUGGCUUGGGACUGGGAGAGGUCAGAGGUACUCCAGGGGUAGGGGUGAAAUCCAUUAAUCCUUGGGGGACCACCGGUAGCGAAGGCGUCUGACCAGACCAGCUCCGACGGUGAGGGACGAAGGCUAGGGGCGCGAACCGGAUUAGAUACCCGGGUAGUCCUAGCUGUAAACGAUGCGGGCUAGGUGUUGGCAUUACUGCGAGUGGUGCCAGUGCCGAAGGGAAGCCGUUAAGCUCGCCAUCUGGGGAGUACGGUCGCAAGGCUUAAACUUAAAGGAAUUGGCGGGGGAGCACCACAACGGGUGGAGCCUGCGGUUC